This 345-nucleotide unclassified non-coding RNA is filed under the name soil metagenome. Its description in RNAcentral is "partial contains 5.8S ribosomal RNA, internal transcribed spacer 2, and large subunit ribosomal RNA". The stretch from base 1 to 120 matches the Rfam family "5.8S ribosomal RNA", at positions 35 to 154 of the family's 154-position model. The record is from RNAcentral.
GAUGAAGAACGUAGUGAAAUGCGAUAAGUAAUGUGAAUUGCAGAAUUCAGUGAAUCAUCGAAUCUUUGAACGCACAUUGCGCCCGCCAGUAUUCUGGCGGGCAUGCCUGUCCGAGCGUCAUUUCAACCCUCAAGCCCCCGGGCUUGGUGUUGGAGAUCGGCGAGCCCCCCGGGGCGCGCCGUCUCCCAAAUAUAGUGGCGGUCCCGCUGUAGCUUCCUCUGCGUAGUAGCACACCUCGCACUGGGAAACAGCGUGGCCACGCCGUAAGACCCCCCACUUCUGAAAGGUUGACCUCGGAUCAGGUAGGAAUACCCGCUGAACUUAAGCAUAUCAAUAAGCGGAGGA